Molecule: unclassified non-coding RNA, 1674 nt
Filed under: Hevea brasiliensis (rubber tree)
Lineage: Eukaryota; Viridiplantae; Streptophyta; Magnoliopsida; Malpighiales; Euphorbiaceae
Source: RNAcentral
AAAACACCUUAUAGUCGCCUGCGGGUUAUCCAUAAUAACCUAAUUUUAAAGUUUACAAGUCAUUUUCUCUCUCUCCGGCCGACGCGUCCAUCUCUCUAUCUCUCUCUCUCUCACUCUCGCUCGCUAACUCGGGUCAAAAGGAACAAAUUUUUGUUGAAGUUCUGUACUUUUUCGUGGAAAAUCAUAGUGGGUCUUAUUUGAUUUGGUGUUUCAAGCUCUUUGCCUUUGUCCAAACAAGAGAUUUUCCUCUUCAUAUACCCUUUUCAUGCUAUUAUAAGUUGACAGUGAAAACCAAAUAUACAUAAUAGCCAUGACUUGUUCAUUGAAGAUCACUCUCAAUAUCUCUAGGUUGAAUGAGACUAUUCUGAACUCAAAAACCACAACUGCUUCUCGGUUUUGUCCAUAUUUUGGUGCUAUACGAAUUGGAGAAUCGACACCCAAGGACUUCCCUAAUUUGAGAAUCAAUUUCAUGGGCAAGCCACUUGUUUUCCUUGAAAAAAAGGAUUUUAGGGAUUCGAGUAUCAAAGCCCCAAGCAAUUUCUCUGUUCGUGCACAAGCUUCGAUCUGUGUGAGCAGAGCUCUCAGAUGGUGGGAGAAGACCCUUAAACCCAACAUGGUAGAGAUCCAUUCAGCUCAAGAACUUGUACACUCCUUGCUUAAUGCUGAUGAUAAAUUAGUGAUUAUUGACUUCUAUUCUCCUGGUUGUGGAGGCUGCAAAGCUCUCCAUCCUAAGGUAUUUCACUUGAUCCAAAUAUUAAUUUCAGAUUAAGAUGAUUAAUCCUUGUAUUUGGUGUAUUUCAUUAGACAGGUACAUUUUCUAGUCUAAACAGAGUUCCUAAAAUUCUUUAAAUCUGCUAUUUUCUGGGUAAAUUUCUAACGAUCUUCAUUUUUGUUCUGCUUAUCAGAUUUGUCAGCUGGCUGAAUCGAACCCCGAUGCAAUUUUUCUAAAAGUAAACUACGAGGAUCUCAAAACCAUGUGUCACGCCCUCCAUAUUCAUGUCCUGCCAUUCUUUAGGUUCUAUAGAGGUGCAGAAGGGCGUCUAUGUAGCUUUAGCUGCACUAAUGCAACUAUCAAGAAAUUCAAGGAUGCAUUGGCAAAGUAUGGAGCAUAUCGGUGUAGCCUAGGCCCGGCCAAGGGAUUAGAUGAAUCUGAGUUAAUGACAUUGGCAUCAAUUGGGGAAUUGCCAAUAGGCUUUCCUUUACCAUCCGCUAAAGAAGAAAGAGCGGAGGAUUUGAUCAUGAAAAGCAUUGAUUUACCUGGUGUAAUGAGCAAAACUGCCAAUGAGGUUGAUCUUAAAGAGGAAACUGCUGUUGGAGUUUGAUUUAUAAUACUAAGCUUAUUGGAGAUUAGGACUGGAUUGCAUUGGUUACUUUUUGUUCUUGAAUUGUAAAUAUCUCUGUUUUUGGAUUUCCAUAAUCAGGCUAGGCUUCUAGGUUUUUUUUUCCCCCAAGCUUGAGCCUCAGUCACAUCAGUAAAAUAAUUUAGGGAUUGGAGGUUGUAUUCUUGUCAAGAAAUUAUAUAUCAGCUUGUCAGAGUUUAUCGUUAACUAUUGAAUUUUUCUUGGUCUCUGUUUUAUGGGGAUUUUGCCAAGUUUUCCUGAUGUUAAUUCCAUUGUUAUACCGUUCUCUUCCUGUACUGUGUAAUCCUUAAAUUUGAAUGAGUCUCAGCAAUGA